CAGUGCGAGAGUUCGUCCUGCCGGAAAACAGCACGGCGCGGCGGCGUUUUACGACGUCGGCGGUGAAAGGCUCCGGAAACCCUCCGACUUCUUACCUGAAGCGGGGCGAAAGGCUGCGGGAUGUUCGGUGUGGGCGACGAAGAAGACACCGACUUCCUCUCGCCUAGCGGCGGUACCAGAUUGGCCUCUCUUUUCGGACUGGAUCAGGCAGCUGCUGGCCAUGGAAAUGAAUUCUUCCACUACACAGCCCCAAAGCAGCCUAAGAAAGGCCAGGGAACAGCACCAACAGGAAAUCAGGCGACACCAAAAACAGCACCCACCACAACAGGCACUUCCACAGUAUUGGUUGCAACAGCAGUCCAUGCAUAUCGCUACACAAAUGGUCAAUAUGUAAAGCAGGGCAAAUUUGGUGCUGCAGUCCUGGGAAAUCACACAGCCAGAGAGUAUAGGAUUCUUCUUUACAUCAGUCAGCAACAGCCAGUUACUGUUGCCAGGAUUCAUCUGAACUUUGAGCUAAUGGUUCGGCCCAAUAACUAUAGCACCUUUUAUGAUGAUCAGAGACAAAACUGGUCCAUCAUGUUUGAGUCUGAAAAGGCUGCUGUGGAGUUCAAUAAACAGGUAUGCAUCGCCAAGUGCAACAGCACCUCUUCCCUGGAUUCAGUGCUGUCACAGGACCUUAUUGUAGUAGAAGGCCCUGCUGUAGAAGUUGGAGAUUCUUUGGAAGUGGCCUAUACCAGCUGGCUCUUUCAGAAUCACGGACUGGGCCAGGUUUUUGACUCCACUGCUAACAAAGAUAAGCUGCUUCGCCUGAAAUUAGGAUCAGGAAAAGUCAUCAAGAGCUGGGAGGAUGGAAUGGUGGGCAUGAGAAAAGGAGGGAAGCGAUUGCUUAUCAUCCCGCCAGCCUGCGCUGCUGGCUCUGAAGGGGUAAUAGGAUGGACUCCAUCAACAGACUCGAUCCUGGUGUUCGAGGUGGAGAUUAGGCGGGUCAAAUUUGCUAGAGAUUCCGGCUCUGAUGGGCACAGUGUUAGUUCCCGGGAUUCUGCAGCCCCUUCACCCAUACCUGGUGCUGCUGAUCCUGUUGUGUCACCGUCCACAUCUGUUCCUUUCAAAUCAGGGGAGUCAGUUCUUCGUUCCAAAUCUAACUCCCUCAGUGAACAGCUUACAGUAAAUACAAAUCCGGAUACAGUCAAGGCCAAGUUGAUCUCUCGGAUGGCUAAAAUGGGCCAGCCCAUGCUGCCCAUUCUUCCACCACAGCUGGAUUCCAAUGAUUCAGAAAUUGAAGACGUGAAUGCUCUUCGAGGAGCUGGGCAGCCUAUGGUGACUCCGUCCAUCCAGCCGUCUCUUCAGCCAGCCCAUCCAGUGCUACCACAGAUGACCUCACAAGCACCUCAGCCAUCUGUUUCUGGGCUCCAAACACCGUCUGCUGCCUUGAUGCAAGUUGCAUCUCAUGAUUCCCACUCAGCUGUAUCUGGAAACGCCCAGUCCUUUCAGCCCUAUACAGGUAUGCAAGCCUAUGCUUAUCCUCAGGCACCAGCUGUUGCUUCCCAGCUGCAGCCCGUCCGGCCCUUGUACCCCGCACCGCUCUCUCAGUCUCCUCAUUUUCAAGGAUCAGGUGACAUGGCUUCAUUUCUCAUGACUGAAGCCCGGCAACAUAACACUGAAAUUCGAAUGGCAGUCAGCAAAGUGGCUGAUAAAAUGGAUCAUCUCAUGACUAAGGUUGAAGAGUUACAGAAACGUACCACUAGCAAUUCCCUGCUCAUUCCUAGCAUGUCGGUGACAAUGGAAACAAGCAUGAUUAUGAGCAACAUCCAACGAAUUAUUCAGGAAAAUGAAAGAUUGAAGCAAGAGAUCCUUGAAAAGAGCAGUCGGAUAGAAGAACAGAAUGACAAGAUUAGUGAACUAAUUGAACGAAAUCAGAGGUAUGUUGAGCAGAGUAACCUGAUGAUGGAGAAGAGGAACAACUCACUUCAAACUGCCACAGAAAACACACAGGCAAGAGUUUUGCAUGCUGAGCAAGAGAAGGCCAAGGUGACGGAAGAGUUAGCAGCAGCCACUGCACAGGUCUCUCAUCUACACCUGAAAAUGACCGCCCACCAAAAGAAAGAAACGGAGCUGCAGGUACAGCUGACAGAAAGCAUGAAGGAGACGGACCUCCUCAGGGGCCAAGUCGCCAAACUGCAGGCAGAGCUCUCAGAGCUCCAAGAAACCUCUGAGCAAGCACAGUCCAAAUUCAAGAGUGAAAAGCAAAGCCGGAGACAACUGGAACUCAGGGUGACGUCCCUGGAGGAGGAGCUGACUGACCUUCGAGCUGAGAAGGAGUCUCUGGAAAAGAACCUCUCAGAAAGGAAAAAGAAGUCAGCUCAAGAGCGCUGUCAGGCUGAGGAGGAGAUAGAUGAAAUUCGUAAAUCACACCAGGAGGAAUUGGACAAACUUCGACAGCUCUUGAAAAAGGCUCGGGUGUCCACGGACCAAGCAGCUGCAGAGCAGCUGUCUCUAGUACAGGCUGAGCUGCAGACCCAGUGGGAAGCCAAGUGUGAACAUCUGUUGGCCUCUGCCAAGAACGAACACCUGCAGCAGUACCAGGAGGCGUGUGCACAGAGAGAUGCCAGGCAGCAGGAGCUGCUCCAUCUUGAGGAGAAGUGUUUAGCCCUCCAGGCCCAAGUCACAGCCCUGACAGAGCAAAAUGCACAACACAUCAAGGACCUGGAGAGCAAGUCCCAGAUGUCUGGGGUUGAAGCUGCUGCUGCUGCUGCUGACCCCUCAGAGAAGGUCAAGAAGAUCAUGAACCAGGUGUUUCAGUCCUUGCGGGGAGAGUUUGAGCUGGAGGAGUCUUACAAUGGCAGGACCAUUCUGGGGACCAUCAUGAACACUAUCAAGAUGGUGACUCUUCGGCUGUUAAACCAACAUGAGCGAGAGAAGGGAGAGAGCAGCAAUGAAGAAGAGGAAGAGGAAGAAGAAGAGGAGCGACCUCAGAGUGCUUCCGGACAGUCUCAGGCACCCUUGAACAGGGAGAGGCGGGAGCCCCCCAUGGUGCCGUCAGAGCAGGUGGUCCAGGAAGCUGCCCCGCUGCCUCCUCAGGCCCUCCCCACUCCCCAGGCUGAUGCACAGAGAAGGGAAGGGGAGCCCUCGGAAGCAGAGGCGCGCUCAGAGAUAAAAGAACCGGCUUGCCUCCCCUCCCGAAGAGCUCUGGGGCCCCCAACUUCAAUUCCCCCUGCGCCUCCAGGCCCUGUGACUGUGGACUCUGCGGGUGAGGAGGCGCUGGCAGCCAGCCCAUUGGGAGAUGCCUGUGUCGGGGAGCAAGAAAGCUCCACAAGACUGCCCCUGACUUCAGACCCCGAGAAGGUGGACCCGCUGGCUGUGGGGCCUGAAAGUCCAGGAGGAGAGCCUCAGGCUCCAGAGCUCCAGAAAGACGAGGAUGGCACUAGCUCCGCUGCUCCCUCCCAGGAGCCGCACGGCACAGAGGCAGCGUCUGCGGCCGUAGGAGCAGUGCCUGGAUCCGAACACCGUUCUCAGCAUCCCAGUCUCUCUGAGGAUGAAGAGGAUGAACUGUUUAAAGGGACAACUCUGAAAGUUCCCAGGCCCAAAGCACAGGCUGAGGAGGAGGAUGAAGACGAGGUGAGCAUGAAGGGACGCCCGCCCCCAACACCCCUUUUUGGAGAUGAUGAUGAUGACGAGGACAUUGACUGGCUGGGAUGAAGACCCAGGAAACUGGUGCAAAGGUUUCUCUACCAACCUUUCCCUAAGCAUGAUUUUGCACAUCCAGCCCUGGGUCUAGACGAGCCACAGGGUGAGGUGAAGGCAGUGCUAUCUGAUGGGAGGAGCUCACUCUAUUUGGAGGAUAGGUGAAAGCCUUGCUGACGGUCCUGCUUUUCUGCCUUUAGUCUGCUGUCACUCUCCCCCCAAGAAAGGGAAACAGGUCCUGCAGAUGCUGCCAUCAUCAUGAAACCUGCCCCCCGGGUUCUGGUCUCUCCGUUCACCCUCUGGUCACAGCACCCUUCUUAAGGCACAGAAACACUAUGUUUGGGCCCUCUGCAGCCUGGCUGAGGAGCUACAGUGGCCUCAACUCCAGGGAGCAAGUGCUGGCUUCAGCUGAAAGUUUCCAGGAGCUGGGGAUGCCGUGAGAACAGCCAACAGAAGAAAAAGGAGAUGUGGGGCUGGAAGUUCAAUGUCUGGAAGGAGGGGCCCCAGCUCUCUCCAGCUCCCAGAGCCUGCACGCUGUCACCAGCUAAGUCAUGCUGAGAAGUGGAUAGGCUAGGUAGUAGCCCACACCUGAGCCCAGGACCACGCCGAAGAAAAUCCAGGUGUUGUAGGACAUAACAGCCAGCAUCAUGAAGUAGCCGAUGACCACCUGAGCGACAUGAAGUAGAGACUGGCCGAAGUGACACAAGAACCACCUGGAUAAAAAGGAGAGCCAAGUCAAUGUUGGUAAUGAGCUGGAAGCUAGGAGUUGGUGUCAGGGAGUAGAAAGAGCAGCUGAGUUACAGGACUAGCUUAUUUAUAAUUUGUAUGCUCAACCCAGGAGAGAUUUCUUUUUAAAGAGACAUAUCAGAAAACAGUGAUUGAGAGGGGAAGAGGGACCUGUGCAAGGAGUUUAGGAUAAUCACUUCUCCACCACAUUUAGCUCUGAGCUUCCUGGUAUCCAGGGCAAAAAGGGAGAAUGAGAUAUGUAAUCUGUCACAUCUGACAAGGGAUAAUACAAAAUCAUCAGUAAGGCAGAUUUUUUUUUCCUGAAUCUACUGUGAGAGGCAGUAUUACAAUGGAAAGAGCAUGGACUUUGUUGACAGAUUAAUUCCUAGCUCUGCCACUUACUAACUGUGGCUUAGCACAAAUGUCUUAACCUAUUUGAACUUAAAUUUCCUCAUCAGUAAAACAGGUAAGAAAAUACGUCCCUUGCAGCGGGGUUGUGACUAUUUGAGGCACUCAUGUAAGAAACAGGCAGGCCCGUUAAGCACAGCUGGAGCUGCAGAGAGGGCAGAAGGGGGAUCCUAAGUGGCUGUCCUAUCAGAACAGGAAGGGAAGAAAGGAGAGAGAGGCCACCCCCGCCUCCACCACCAAGCUGGAUACAUUGCUGAUAGCAAUUCUUAUUUGUGGGGGGACAGCCACAGGUCCCAUCUUGGGUUUGGAAGCCUUAGUGACCUAAGGAAGCCUGCUGAGAUUUGGGGGAGGGCUGGGUGGACACCCCUGUUGCUAGACUGAGGCCUGCACCAGAGUCCUGAAGAUUGGAGCCUCCCACGUGGCUGUUCAGAGAGCUCCAGCCUGGGCAUUAGGAGACCUGGGCUCUAGCUCACGUCACUACUUACUAACCGUAAGCACUUCAGCAAGUCCUGGUCCUUCCCUGGGCCUCAAUUUCCUUUCUGGGAAGUGGGGCUAAGUGCCCUGUGGGCCCAGGCUAGCUCUCAGGGUGAAUGUAAGAACUCUGCCUUCCCCCCUCCCAACCCCCGCCGUCCCGAGUCUGUUACCUGAGGCGGGUUCUGCUGACGUUGGGGGAGUCUGAGCUUGUAGAAUUCUGGUCUGUCUCUUCAAUGAGCUGCUGGCUGGUGGAGAUGGACAGGCUUGUCAGGGCCUGGUGGAGCAGCCUGGCUUUGCCAACCUUGAUGCCUUCAUACAACACAGCCAGGAGCAAGACGACCAACACCGAAAGGGCCAUGCCUGUCAAAGGAGGCUGGGUUACAGAGGCCCAGCCAGGCAAGCACAGCUCCUCUUCUGCCAGCUUACCCGGGGAACUGGCACAGGAGGCAAAAGGGUACCUCCCCCAGCCACUGUGAAUCCAUUCCUUCUCCCUCCCUCUCUCAUCUUCUUCCCCACCCUUGCUGGGCUCAGAACUUCCUGUUGCUUUCCCCCUCCAGCCCUUUCUUGAUGGGGGUGGCCUACUGGAGUUUGGCUUUGAGAUCACGAAGAGAAGCUUCCCGGCAAAGCUGGGGGCCGG
Molecule: non-coding RNA, 5926 nt
Organism: Globicephala melas (long-finned pilot whale)
Lineage: Eukaryota; Metazoa; Chordata; Mammalia; Artiodactyla; Delphinidae
Source: RefSeq, a predicted model, not a curated record